GACGAACGCUGGCGGCGUGCUUAACACAUGCAAGUCGAACGGAAAGGCCCUGCUUUUGUGGGGUGCUCGAGUGGCGAACGGGUGAGUAACACGUGAGUAACCUGCCCUUGACUUUGGGAUAACUUCAGGAAACUGGGGCUAAUACCGGAUAGGAGCUCCUGCUGCAUGGUGGGGGUUGGAAAGUUUCGGCGGUUGGGGAUGGACUCGCGGCUUAUCAGCUUGUUGGUGGGGUAGUGGCUUACCAAGGCUUUGACGGGUAGCCGGCCUGGGAGGGUGACCGGCCACAUUGGACUGGGGUACGGGCCAGGACUCAACGGGAGGCAGCAGUGGGGAAUAUUGCACAAUGGGCGGAAGCCUGAUGCAGCAACGCCGCGUGCGGGAUGACGGCCUUCGGGUUGUAAACCGCUUUCGCCUGUGACGAAGCGUGAGUGACGGUAAUGGGUAAAGAAGCACCGGCUAACUACGUG
This 467-nucleotide ribosomal RNA is filed under the name uncultured bacterium. Its description in RNAcentral is "partial 16S ribosomal RNA". It matches the Rfam family "Bacterial small subunit ribosomal RNA", at positions 28 to 507 of the family's 1533-position model. The record is from RNAcentral.